Molecule: ribosomal RNA, 807 nt
Filed under: Exiligada gregoriana
Lineage: Eukaryota; Metazoa; Mollusca; Gastropoda; Stylommatophora; Camaenidae
Description: partial 16S ribosomal RNA
Source: RNAcentral
GGAGUUAUUAAAUUCUUAUAGAUUAAGCUACACGAAAAUAGUUGAGCUAAAUAAUUAUAAUUAUUAGAUUUAUUAUAUGUAGCACAAUGUAAAUAAAUAAAUAUUUAGGGGUGAUAGGCCUAUCAAAACUAUAGAUAUCUUGAUUCUUUUAAAAACAUUUAGUGUAAUGUCAACUAAGAAAUGAUAAGGUUUUUUAGUAACAUAAACAUAUUUAAAGAUUUAAAUCUUGAUCUAAUCAUUAGAUUUUAUUUGAAUUAAUUAUUAAUUUAUAGUGUAUUAUGGUUAAUAUAAAGAAAUAUUAAACUGGUAAAAUAAUUUAAAAUGUAACUAUAAGUAACUUUAAUAAGUAUGAAAAAUGAACUCGGCAAAUUAGCCUUUCAGCUGUUUACCAAAAACAUAGCUAUGUGUAAUUAUCCAUAGUAAUUUCUGCUCAAUGAAAAUUUAAAUAGCCGCAGUACCCUGACUGUGCAAAGGUAGCGAAAUAAUUUGACUUAUAAUUGAAGUCCUGUAUAAAUGAAAUUUUGGGGGGCGUCUUUAUUCUUUGUAGAUCUUGAAAUUACUAAUUAAGUGCAAAUUCUUAUAUUCUAAAUGAUAGACGAGAAGACCCUAGAAAUUUUUAUAAAUUGUAUUUAAUCUUUUUGUUGGGGCAACAAGGUAACAUAAAAUUUACCCUUAAUAACAAGAACAUUUAUGUGAUAGAAUAAAUUACUCUAGGGAUAACAGCGUAAUUUAUAAAAGUUUGCGACCUCGAUGUUGGACUAGGGAACUACUGCUUAGAAGGCAAAAUGUAUAGCUCUGUUCGAGCUU